GUGAAUUGCUACCAGGAGCCAGUUUUCCUUUAAAACAUGAGAUGGAUCAGAGAACAAAGAUGCUUUCUGUUGCCAUUGAGGGUGUGAACUCAGUCAUUCAAGAUCAUCUGGUAGAAGUUUAAGGGUUUCUUUUCUGUAUGUGCAACGUAUAUUCAAAUUCCUGUGUAUGAAUGAGGCUCAAGCAUGUCACCAUGGAGG
Mus caroli (Ryukyu mouse) is the source of this 198-nucleotide long non-coding RNA. RefSeq lists it as uncharacterized. NCBI's taxonomy places the organism in Eukaryota, Metazoa, Chordata, Mammalia, Rodentia, Muridae. The record is from RefSeq and is a predicted model, not a curated record.